UCCUCCUCCCAGCUGAUGACUCUUUCUCCACCUGGAUGGCUUUCUAAUACUUCUGCCGCUACUUCACUUCUACAUUUUGCUCCUGCAGACAGCAUGCUGCUGCUUCCCUUACUCAUUGCAACUUCAUACUGGUCCCGUGGAGAUGCACAGGCUGUACCGGUGCAAAGCCCGGCAGAGCACAGGCUGGUGGAGGGCAGCUCAGUCACCAUGACAUGCCAGCUGAGUGGUGUAACCUAUGUGCACUGGUACAGGCAGCUUCCUGGGGAGCCACCCAAGAGGAUACUGUAUAUGUCGGGAUCCUCACCUACCUUUGACAACAGCAAUGAUAGACAGAAGUUUCAAGUGCAAAAAAAUCCUUCCAACUAUGUUCUGACAAUAAAGAAAUCAACCCAGGGGGAUACCGGUACUUACUAUUGUGCAUAUUGGUAUUGGUAUUAUGAAGGCUUCACAGCAUUAGAUGGGCAAAGAUAAGCCAUACAAAAAGGC
Molecule: non-coding RNA, 486 nt
Organism: Numida meleagris (helmeted guineafowl)
Lineage: Eukaryota; Metazoa; Chordata; Aves; Galliformes; Numididae
Source: the annotation of a RefSeq genome assembly